GCCACCAGGACAGGGAGAAACUAAGUCAGGAGGUGACGCCGCCUCCUGAGACAGUGCUCCAGACACCUGGUGGCCCCGCAGUGCCCACCGGGUUCAGAGAGAGGACAAAGGCUACUGUCCAUCACUUCCCCAUGACAUGAGUGACGUUCCGGCCUCACGUCCUGCUCUGCCGUUCUUUACAAACUGUGACUGACAGGAGCCGCUGUGGCAGCCAUUUUGUUCUCUACGCCUCUGUUGUGAGGAAACCCACCCCCAGGCCAGGCUGGGAGGGGCGCUCCAUGGGACAGCGGCGAUACUGCCAGCCACUGUGUUCAUGGAGCGGGGACAGCGGCCACACUGCCGGCCACUGUGUUCAUGGAGUGGGGACAGCGGCCACACUGCCGGCCACUGUGUUCAUGGAGUGGGGACAGCGGCCACACUGCCAGCCACUGUGUUCAUGCAGCGGGGACAGCGGCCACACUGCCGGCCACUGUGUUCAUGCAGCGGGGACAGCGGCCACACUGCCAGCCCACUUGUGGUUCAUGCAGCGGGUACAGGCGGCCACACUGCCAGCCACUGUGUUUCAUGCAGCGGGGGACAGCGGCCCACACUGCCAAGCCACUGUGUUCAGGGAAGGGGGGACAAGCGGGCAAACUGCACGGCCACUGUGUUCAUGCAGCGGGGACAGCGGCCACACUGCCGGCCACUGUGUUCAUGCAGCGGGGUACAGUUGGUCACACUGCCGGCCACUGUGUUCAUGCAGCAGGAACAGCGCCCACACUGCCAGCCACUGUGUUCAUGGUGGAGGGGACAGCGGCCAAACUANNNNNNNNNNNNNNNNNNNNNNNNNNNNNNNNNNNNNNNNNNNNNNNNNNNNNNNNNNNNNNNNNNNNNNNNNNNNNNNNNNNNNNNNNNNNNNNNNNNNCUUCAGCUCGCUGGCCUCACUGGGGUCGGGUGUCUCACCUCUGUCGCGGUAGCCUUGGGGCGGGCGGCCCCGGGAUCUCCAGGCAGCUCACCUUGUAGCACUGAAACGAGAGAACGCGGACAAGGCCGGGUGGCAGGACACACACGGCCCGGACGCCUGGGGGAAAGGCCAGGGCCCUGGAGGCUGAGUCCGCGCUGGCUGCGGGACGCGCCCCGCUGUGCGCCCCUGGCCGUGGGCACGGGGCCGAUGAAGGCGCCUGUGGGGAGGCUGAGGGCGGCCCGGACAGUCCGAGCCUCGGGUGCUGCUGGGGCUGGUGUCCCGGCUCCCCGCAGGGCUUUCCCUGGAGGUGGGGGUGCAGCAGGGCUGGGCCAGGGCCGGGGUCCGGGCAGCCUAGCAUGGGGCUGCUCUGCACAGGAGGGGUUUUGCAAAUCUGACGUGGGCCCGGCUGGGCCUGCCCGCGGUCUGUCCAUGGUGAGGCGCCCAGGUGGGGUCUGCGAGAUGGCUGAGCCUUCAGCAUGCCCAGGGUGGUGGGCGGCACCUUCCCAGCGAGAGAGGACCACGCAGCCAAUGGACAGGACGCCCCUGAACGCCCCUGCCUGCGCCCCAGAGGCCUGCACCCUGCGCUGGGCACCUGUCUGCUCCCAUCCUCAGAGCCCCUGCCUUCUUUUUUUCUUUUUAAGAUUAUUUAUUUGAAAGUCAGAGUUACACAGAGAGAGAAGGAGAGGCAGAGAGCGAGAGAGAGGGAGAGAGGUCUUCCAUCCGCUGGUUCACUCCCCAAUUGGCCGCAAUGGCUGGAGCUGCGCCGAUCCGAAGCCAGGAGCCAGGAGCUUCUUCUGGGUCUCCCACAUGGACGCAGGGGCCCAGGCACUUGGGCCAUCUUCUAUUGCUUUCCCAGGCCAUAGCAGAGAGCUGGAUGGGAAGUGGAGCAGCCGGGACUUGAACUGGCACCCAUAUGGGAUGCUGGCAUUGCAGGUGGCGGCUUUACCUGCUAAGCCACAGCGCCAGCCCCAGAGCCCCUGCAUUCUGUGCCCACUCCACUGUCCACAGCCCAGCCCUCUCCAGGCAGUGCCAGCCACACCUGUCCUGCCCUGCAGCCUUCCCAGUGGGAGUGGGUGCUGGGGGCUGGGGUGGGAGUAUGCAUGUUUGAGGCUAAGUGUGCCUGUGUGUCAGAACUGUGUGUGAACAGAAGACCCAGGCCAGCUGCUUGAGAGCAGGGAGACCCCCACCAAACCCCUCCCACCAGCCCCUCCCCCUCCCCUCCCACCAGCCCCGUCCCCCACUAGCCCCUCCCCCUCCCACCAGCCCCCCACCAGCCCCGUCCCCCACUAGCCCCUCCCCCUCCCACCAGCUCCCUACCAGCCCCCACCUCCCUCCUUCCUUUGCAGGGGUUGCCCUGGGCAGAGGGCCACCACGGCAUCUGGCUGCCUCCCCUGGCUCCCUCACAGGCACGGGCCGCAUACGCCUCUCGUCACUCCUACCACCACUGCCUCGCCUGCUUCUUGGAUCUGAUCAGCAAAGCACAGCAGGAGGAGCGGAGAGCGUGAGGCAGGGACCAUCGCUGGGGGUGUCGCCAGGGUGACCUGUCAGCUGCAGGGGACGCUGGGUUGGCCACCGCCUGGCUGCACUGAGGGCCCUGCAGAGGGGUGGGGGCCGAGGCAGUUAAGCCCACGGGGGGCUCAGUGUGAGAGCCUGA
Molecule: long non-coding RNA, 2597 nt
Filed under: Oryctolagus cuniculus (rabbit)
Lineage: Eukaryota; Metazoa; Chordata; Mammalia; Lagomorpha; Leporidae
Description: lncRNA (ENSOCUG00000034619.1)
Source: RNAcentral